RNAcentral lists this long non-coding RNA (598 nucleotides) under Equus asinus (donkey). RNAcentral describes it as "lncRNA (ENSEASG00005029461.1)". The record is from RNAcentral. Lineage: Eukaryota; Metazoa; Chordata; Mammalia; Perissodactyla; Equidae.
UUUUGCUGAGGAAGACUGGCCCUGAGCUAACAUCCGUGCCCAUCCUCCUCUACUUUAUCUGUGGGACGCCUACCACAGCACGGCUUGACAAGCAGUGUGUAGGUCUGCACCCAGGAUCUGAACCGGUGAACCCCAGGCCGCUGAAGCAGAACGAGUAUGCAAGACAUUGCUCUCCAAGCUGAGUGAAAUUCCAGCUGUGGCCCCUGGAAGCCAUGUGGAGAUGUGGGUGCAUUCCUUCAGCUACAGGCACAGAAGCCAGUUCACUUGGCCACUGAAGGUCCUGUUUCCGUGUGAUGUGGAGCCUGAUGAAUAUGUGGCCUCCCCUCUAGGAAUACGCCUGGGCUGCCUUUGCACACACUUACUUCAGCUGGCCUUGAACUCAAAGAUAAUCGCUUCUGUAACAAGUGAAUCACAGCCUCUCCUCCCUGUGCAAACAAGAGAACUAGCUUUAACUGCCUGAUCAAAUGUUUUUGAAAGAGUAAACCCAGGAAGGAGAUUUGAGAAACAAGCAGCCAAGACUAGAGUUUUCACUUUGCAGAGGACAUCGAGUGGAGGUCUGCGUUCUGGGAGGUUUCAACUGAUGGAAAGACAGUGGCCC